RNAcentral lists this ribosomal RNA (787 nucleotides) under Iwogumoa plancyi. RNAcentral describes it as "partial 28S ribosomal RNA". The stretch from base 385 to 787 matches the Rfam family "Eukaryotic large subunit ribosomal RNA", at positions 1 to 946 of the family's 3401-position model. The record is from RNAcentral. Lineage: Eukaryota; Metazoa; Arthropoda; Arachnida; Araneae; Agelenidae.
CCUCCUAAAUCCUGUGGCGAGAGGAUUCAGUCUGGGGCGCAGGUCGUGCAGAUCGGAAAUCAGGUAGGGCUUCCCCGAGCGGGGGCCGUCCGGUCGCACGCAGCGCCUGUGCACCCGACGCAUUUGUCUCUCGUCCGAAGGACGCCGCAGCCGGCUGGGUAGUGCAAGCGCGACGACCUGAGGGGCGGAAGAUGGCAGGUGGCCGCUGGCGUGCCUCGUGCGCGUCGGCGGUUGUUAGCCGUUCCGUCAGUGGUCCGUCACCCGGCCGAGGUGUCGCGAGGCCCUUCGGGGCCUCAUCGCCUCCUCCUCAGAGUCGCGGGUCAGAGCGUCGCAGGUGGAAUCCGUCGUCCCGUUCGCACCCCUCCGGGGUGGUCGGGCGAACGGAGGCCUCCGUUGGUGGCGCCGGACCCGUUGGAGGCUGGAGGCUUGCGGCGAGUAGGUCGGUCACCCACCCGACCCGUCUUGAAACACGGACCAAGGAGUCUAACAUGUGCGCGAGUCAAUGGGUCUUGAAUAGGCCCAGGGGCGCAAUGAAAGCAAAGGACGGCCUCAGCGCCGUCCGAGUUGGGAUCCCCGUCUUCGGGCGGGGCGCACCAACGACCCGUCCUAUUCGGCUCGCCGAUUUGGGCGGAGUUUGAGCGUACACGUUGAGACCCGAAAAGAUGGUGAACUAUGCCCGGACAGGACGAGGCCAGAGGAAACUCUGAGUGGAGGUUCCGCAGCGGUUCUGACGUGCAAAUCGAUCGUCAGAUCUGGGUCUAGGGUCAAAAGAUUAUCCUACCAAUUC